AAGUCGUAACAAGGUUUCCGUAGGUGAACCUGCGGAAGGAUCAUUAAUUAUGUUAAAGCGCCUUACCUCUUAGGGUUUCCUCUGGGGUAAGUGAUUGCUUCUACACUGUGAAAAUUUGGCUGAGAGACUCAGACUGGUCAUGGGUAGACCUAUCUGGGGUUUGAUCGAUGCCACUCCUGGUUUCAGGAGCACCCUUCAUAAUAAACCUAGAAAUUCAGUAUUAUAAAGUUUAAUAAAAAACAACUUUUAACAAUGGAUCUCUUGGUUCUC
This 270-nucleotide unclassified non-coding RNA is filed under the name Rhizopus arrhizus. RNAcentral's name for it is "Rhizopus oryzae partial internal transcribed spacer region". The stretch from base 1 to 46 matches the Rfam family "Eukaryotic small subunit ribosomal RNA", at positions 1786 to 1831 of the family's 1831-position model. Lineage: Eukaryota; Fungi; Mucoromycota; Mucoromycetes; Mucorales; Rhizopodaceae. The record is from RNAcentral.